RNAcentral lists this long non-coding RNA (8673 nucleotides) under Sus scrofa (pig). RNAcentral's name for it is "lncRNA (ENSSSCG00015054575.1)". Lineage: Eukaryota; Metazoa; Chordata; Mammalia; Artiodactyla; Suidae. The record is from RNAcentral.
GGGCCACACCUGCAGCAUAUGGAGGUUCCCAUGCUAGGGGUCAAAUCGGAGCUACAGCUGCCAGCCUACGCCACAGCCACAGCAACUCAGGAUCUGAGCCAUAUCUAUGACCUACACCACAACUCACAGCAACGCUGGAUCCUUACCCACUAGGCGAAGUCAGGGAUCGAACCCACAACCUCAUGGUUCCUGGUUAUUUUCGUUUCUGCUGAGCCUGAUGGGAACUCCUGCAGUCUUAGAUAUGUACACGUACAUUUUGCAUCUCCGUGGGGACAUGUUCAGCAUUUCUCACACUUGUUUGACCUCAGAAUCCCCUGUUAUUUUAUGGAACUUGUAUUAAUAUCUCAUAGAUAUGGUAUUCCAAAAGGAGCCACAUUCUCUUUCCUGACAUAAAUUUUAGAAAGGCUAGGUAAAUGGAAUAAUGAAUGGAGAGAGAAAACACCAGCUGGCCAUGGCUUUGACCCCACGCCUGGUACUUCCUUGUCUUCUGGGUUCAUCACUGAAUAAGCAUGAGUGAUCAGUCUCUAACGUUUUGUUCCAUCAUUUGCAGAGCUACCCUCAUAGCAUCACGAAAAAGCAUGAGGGUCCUUCUCUCCAGCAAUGAUCAGUUCAGGCUAAGCCUUGGUGCUGAAAGUGGGAGAAAAGGCAGGGAGAGCCCUGUAAAACUGGAGGAGCACAUGGAGUGAAGAUUAUUUACACUGUGUGCCUACACCGGGGGGGGGGGGGUCCACUAAAAUUUACUAUCUCAUCCUAGUCUUUGAGAUAUGCUUAAAGACCCAGAGUUCAGGUUGCUUUAGUGGGUCAUUCUGUGUCUGAUGGAUGCACCUGCCCGCUCUCUCCCGCACCAGAGCAGAACACAAAACACUGUCACAUCCAAUGUGAUGGGAUCACAUGUCUUCAGACCCUUUUUAUGAGGGUGACUCUCUAAAAUGCCAUCAUUAUUCACUAUUAUUUAAGGAGGAGGAAGGAGAGGCACGGAAGGGAAGUUUUACCCCUCAGAGGGAAAGCCUCAGGUGAACCUUCUGGCUACCAGAAUAUAUCGUUCAGAAUAUACAGUGGGUAGAGAAGAUACCUUGCAAUUACGACAUCAAAACAAAUUAAUUCCUACCACGUCCCACGUCCAGCUGAGUCAGACUGCCCUAUCCUCAGAGUCAGAAAUGUAUAACAAGUCAGUCAAGUCAUUAACAGGUUAUGCAUUUUGCAAUGUCACUGACCAGAAUGUUUAGUGAGUGAGUAAAAUUAACCUAACUUCCAACACGAACUUUGCAUCUUUCCAUGUAAAGGUACUUAUACCUCUUUUCAUAUUUCCAAAUACUCCUGUCAAGCACACUCUGUUUUAACAAUAAACAGACUUAUGGAAUAACUUGUUUGUAUUGUGCUUUACAGUUUACUAAGUACUUUCAUGUACAGGUCUUCUUUUAUCCUCAGUAUAAUUCUGAUGGAUCUUAGUGUCUUCAUUUUCUGAUGUAGGAAUUAGGAUUAUUGCUAAACUAAUAUCCAGCAGAGUGAGACUGAACCCCAGACUCUGAUUCCAGAUUUAGCCUGUCAGUUCCCCACAACUGGCACUGAAGGAUUUCCCUUCUAAGCCCACAGCAAUCUCAAUUUUUUUCUAUACUCCUUGUUCCAUGUACUAAUAAAAUUCCAAGCACAUUUCUGGAAACUAUAUUCUUUUUCCAGUUACUCCAUGUGUCUCUGCCUCCUCUACCCAAUUCAAACACAAGCCUUUGGUGACACUGUACUUUCAGGGACCCCUGAAGAACGUUCCUUCCCUCUAGACCCCAUUCAACCAGGUUUAACCCUCGGCGACAGAACCCAGCACAAGCCAGGAGGGGCGCAUUCCCACCCCUCACAAACUCUCUGCCUUUCUCAAGCCCCGUCCUUGAGUAGGGAGGAGACUCUCCCGUGUGCUGCGUGCUGCUGGAACACCAGCUGACGUCCGGGGUGGACGCACACCACUGCCCUCUGCUGCAGGUGUCCGUUUAUCAUAUGUCUCCCACUUGACCUUGGUCAUCUUGAGAAGGGCGACCUUGGGUCACUUUUUUCUUUGAAUCCCCAGAACCUCAUACACAGUAGGUUGUCACUAAUUAAUAAAUAUUUUAAUUUAAAAAGUAACCCGAGAUCAAUUAAGGCAGUUAGUGUCUUUGAGAGGUUCCCAGUCUCACGGGGAAGAAAAACAUAUACACAGACUACAGCCAAUAACAUGAGGCACUGUACCUCCGGGGUACAGAUGGGUUCAAGGGGCUCUGGGAGCACAGACAGGUAGGGACCCAAGGCAGUCGGCCCUCAGAGACAGUGAAGUUGGGCAGAAACUUCAAGAGUAGACACUCUCAGCCAAGGUGCAUAAAGCUGACAGGAAAAGGGUGGGAGUGGGUGGCGAACAGGGGUGGCAGGCGAUUCAGGGGUUUGGUUUGGGGGGCAGCAUAGCAGCCCCUUCUCUGGGGGAGCUGCCGCUCUCUUCAGCCAGUCUUGUGGUUCUAAUAGUAUCUGCUCAUGAUAUCUCGUUCCCCUGGCCAGGAAGACUUCCCAAAGGUUUUGCAAAUGUCUUCAGGCUCACAGAAGAAACAGAGUGAGAAAAUAAAACUGGCCCAGAGAGAUAAGCCAAGGAGAAAGUUGGUGGAAGUGUGUUGUGGAAGCACCCCAGUCCCUGAUCCAGUGGUUUCUGGAAUCUGGUGCACCUCUGCCGUUCCUGAAGUCUGGUUUUCUACCUCAGCUGAGUCAAGCUGGGUUUCUGCCACUUGCAAACACAAGAAUCCUGAUCAAUGCUAAGACCUUAAAAAAAAAUCUCCCACAACACGCACAGAGGUAGGCACAAAGUAGCUACUCAAUAUUUUACUCCUCAAACAGACCUAUUUCCAUCAUCGAGUUCAACCUCUUUAUUUAAAGAUGGGGACACAGGCUUACAUAAUUUCCCCAAGAGGUUCUACAAAAGAGUUUACAUCAGAACCUGAACUUUUCUCAGACCAGUGUUCAAUACACACAGACUGCUUCCUUUGCUGUUUGCUGGCUAAUAAGCCUCAAAGGGUUCCUAUUUGGUGGGGAAAAAAAAGGAAGAAAAAAAUCAAAAUGGACAAAAAAUUCCUGAAAGGACUGUAAAGUGAUGACAUUAUUGUUUUUUAGUUAAUUCUGUACCAAAUAGUCCCUGACAUGCACCUGCCUCUGGGGUAGGUGGAUAUUUUGAGACAAGGCACCCUCCUUGACCUCAAGGAGUUCACCAAGCAGAGUGAGGAGACUGCACAGGCUAUCAGAGCUCACAGACGCUCAAAUGAGCCAUCUGGGAGAAUAUGCACUUGUUAUGUUUGCAAGUGCUGGUAAGUCUCUUUUGAACCAGUUAUGAGCCAAACAAAAGUGUCACCUCAUAAUUUCAUAGCUGCAUUUAAAUUCAUGUUAAUCAAAAAUAGUACCAUUUCAGCUGGACCAACUGGAUACGGCACUUGGUUUUUAGAAAAUGCAAAAAAGCCUCCAAAGACAAUGGUUUCCUCCUACUAAGUAUAUUCAAAAGAAAAGGCGAUGGGUUCUGAGGUCUACUGUCAAAUAGGAGGUUCGAAGAUGUUUCGCCCAAGGCUAGGCAGCAUCACUGCCCUGAAGGGAACAGCACUAUUCAGGAAGGGUAAAUGUUUAUGAUGCAUUGUUAAAAUAAUGAAUUCUAGAGUUUACAUUACCUUUCCAGACAGGCAUAUAUCUGCCUAGAGGCAGGUGCCAGUAUCACCUGAAGUCACCUUGCAUCUCUUCCCUCCAGCUCUGAUUCUGCCACUGCUUACACUGGUUUUCUCUAAGUCUGCGAUGGGCUGGAGAGCUAUUUCCGUCCUAGUUCUUCUCCUUAUAUAGGUCAAAUCCCAUUCCAAUGAGCACCAUAACAAUAACCACCUCAUGGCCUGGUUAUUUUAGACAGCCUGAUAAAAUGAGAAUUAAGCAUGACCUCCCAGCCAGAGUCGGCUGUUAGAGAACUUGACCUGAAUAUUAUUUAAGCAAGGAGGCAGCCAGUUUCUUAUGUUUUUAUCUUUGUGGCCCUGGGGCAUGGCAAAACAGUCAGACAGAGGUACAGAAUCAUCAUCAGUGAGUCCAAACCACAGUACUCAGUUCCCAUUGUGGCUCAGCAGGUUAAGAACCCAGCUAGUAUCCAUGAGGAUGCGGGUUUGGUCCCUGGCUUUGCUCAGAGGGAUAAGGCUUUGGCAUUGCUGUGGCUGCGGCGUAGGCCAGAAGCUGCAGCUCCCAUUCAACCCCUAGCCUCGGAACUUCCAUAGGCCGCAGGUGCAGCCCUAAAAUGAAAAAUUAAAAAAUCAAAAAUUAAAAAAAAAGAAUCUCCAUGUUCUGUCCACUCCAGCCAAAGGAACUGUUCAUCCUAAUUCAGGUUAUAAAUAAGCCCUCUUGUCACACUGGGCAUCUCCAACCUGAGGUUUUUUCCCCUCUAUUCUUUCCCAGUAGGGCUGGAUUCCUGUGUCUUUUUGCAUGUGUUGCUGUUUCUUAGAACGAAGCCCUGGCUGUCACACUCGCCAAUGCUCCUCCACAAGAAGGUAAAUUCCCCCAGGAUAGAGCUUCGUUUGUUCGGCUUCCAGCUCUGUGUAACAUCUGAAUCCUCUUGCUAGAAAGCUUGCUGCACAAGAAUGUGAAAUGUCAUGUCUAGAACAGUGCCUGGCAGACAGUAAAUGCUCCAUCACUGUUCGCUAAAGGGUGCAAGUCCAACGCCAUCCCUUCCUCUCCUGGAGCAGUCGAGGGUCUCUCCUCUGACCUUGUUGUCCUGUUAGCGUCUCUCUGUUCUGACAGUAUGGGAUGCCCUACUCAUGCUCUAUCAGUUUUCCCAGCUGAACUGGAAAAUACUAUGUUUGAUAGCUCCAUGUCUUCUGUGCCUGAAACAGUAAGAGUUCGCUCACUGCUUAUUGCUUCAAUGAUUGAAAGAAUGAAUUAAAAUGUUUCUUUGGUAACAAUCAAGGCUGAGGAUUUAUGACUUAACAUCAUGCCUCAAGUUUGGCCUGGACUCCAGCGCUUUCCAAGCCGAAGCAGCCGUGAGUCACCGGGCUGGGCAGGGAGGGGAGGGGAGUUUGUUUGCGGAGGACUUGUUUCCCGACCUCGAUGAAUCACAUGUAUAAUCACCCCAACUGCAUCCUGUCUGGGGAAGUAACCAAAAUCCCUAUUUCUGGCCUUAAUGGCUUUUUGGUUUUAUGAGUAAAUGCCACUGGCAUGCCAUUAAAUAAAUGCCCUCGGAAAGCCCUCAGCCAGUGCUGUGACCUGUGACAGGCAGGUUGUUGAAGAGCAGCCUUGGGAAUGGAGCACAAGACCAAAGAAGUAGGCUAUGCGUCCCACCUGGACCGUCGCUCUCAGAGCUACCUGGCGACCUUGCUUCUGAGUUCUUUCCAAACAUCUGUUAGGCUCUUUUCUGGUAAAUCACAGGUAUGAUCAGGCCAUUCUCCUACAGAAAAAUAUGCAGUGGUUCUCAUCAUCUCCAGAAGACAGACCAAACUUUUUCACCUAGAACACCAUCUAUAUCCUGGCUCUGACCUACUUCACCCACUUUUCCUUCCCACGCCCCCACAUAACUAGAUGCUCCAAACAGAAUGACUUUCUGAUCACAUAUAAUCCUAUUCUUUGCUCUAUGACUUUGUUUCCUGCUUCCUCCUCGUAUGUCCACCCCCUACCACUUCCAGAUGUCUAAAGAAAUGCCACACCCUCCACAAUAUCAUCCGCAGCCGUCCAAUAAGAAAGAAUAAAGUCUCCUUCAAGGACGCUCAGAUUCCAUUGGGGCUGCCGUUCCACUAUCUCUAAUGUGCUUGGGAAACAUGUAUGUGCAUGUUCGUUUCUCUAGUAAAUCAUUUCCGGACGAAUAUCUGAAUCUUAGUCAAUGUGAUGUUCCUUCGACUCCUAGCAGUGCUGGCCACAGUGGACACUCCAAAUAAAAGUUAGCUGAGUGGAAAAAGAGAACGAGUUCCACUGUUCAAAUCCUCAUCUUUGAGAAUCUUCAGGAAAGGUGUGACAUAGAAGUUUCUUAUUCUCACUCUCCUAUUUUAUCCCUUACCUCCUCUCCAAGAGAACACAAGAUUAAGAAAACCUUUGGUCUCUGCAAAUAACUUGGUUUUAUAUCCAUGAAGCCUCAAGGCCAGUUAUCUGUUCUAGACGUUCUUCCUCCUGAUAGCCAGCACCUCAGGGCCCACCUUGCUAGUAAGGCAGAACAACUUUAGAGGAAAAAACAGAAUUUUGGUCAUUAACUGAGUCAAACAAAAAGAUAGCUGAGAGGGUAUCUGUCAUUUCAAAGAGCAAACUUUUAAAAAGAUAGCAUAUUCUAAAAACAAAGACUUUUCUGUUACUGGCUGUUUGGGAAUAUCCACGCCCCAGUGCCAAUGUCAGGGUGGGCAUACUCGUUCAGUGUGGAUAAGUGAGAGCUGAAGCAAUAAAGCUUAGCUUUGUCUGAUCGCAAAGCAGUGCAGUCUCCUUUCUGUUGGUUGGAAUGACUGCUUAUGAGAACAGGGAUAUAGAAGCAGAACAGGGUUAAAAUCACCUAGGGCGAGGUCAGAGAACGAGAGAACGGAACGUCAAGCAUUUUGCUUCCUCUGCUGUCUUUGGGCAAUGACCACUUCUGAGCAGAUGAGAGAUGGACGGCCACCACUGCAGCUUGAGAGCCACCUCGACACGCUGCCAUCAGGGCAACGCCCUUCCCUCCCCAGGUGUCAUCCUGCCACACCACGUAAUGGCUGAAGGACCACAGAAAAGCCUGCAAUGUCUUCGCCUGCGAGGUGAGGAUGACGCCUCUGACAAGGUACCAGUGUUAGAUCUUAUAAACUGUAAAGUACUGCUUCGAUAUUAGUUGGUGGAGCAAAUUCAGAGGUUUUUCCUAUUACCCUACACCUGGGGUCAGCAAACAACUUCUCUAAAGGGCCAAGUAAGAACAAUUGCAGGCUGUGUGGUACAUGUGGCUCUAUGGUAACUACUCAACUCUGUCUGCCUCUACAGCAGGAAAGCGACCCCUGACAACAUGCAAAUGAAGGCAUGUGCUUCGUUCCCAUCAAAAUUUACAGAAACCGUGGUAGACGGGACUUGGCCGUAUUUGCAAAUCCCCGCCCUACACCUUUAGAGUGAAUGAAACACCAGAGGCAGACAGAGGGGCAUAUCUAAACUCUUUCCCAGUGGGAAGAGUGGCAUGUCUGUUUUCGUGAACAACUGUCCUGAGCCUGGCAGACCUCCCUUUAAGGCACUUCUGGAAAUCAGAGUUUUAGUUUUGUGCAUUAUACCACCAUGGCCAUCUUCAGCAUUGUCAACCUCAUUCUGCACCUCACUGAGAAGUGUUACUGACACAGGCAUAAAAGAACCCUAGUUUUCUAUACCUACCACUUGACCACACUCUUCUGGGAAAGACAGCUCUGAUUAUUGUUAAAGAAAAUAUCAAUCAUACUUGUGGUGAAAGGUCGCUACAUUUUUUAACAAAUUGGUCCUUUGAGCAAGAUGAAUUUUAAUGGAUUGGUUUAUUAACCUAAAGGUUGAACCAGACUGAGAGUAACUGAAUGAUUCGUUCAUAAUUAGUAUUAUUUAUAAUUAUUUUACUUGGGAAAAAAAUAUCACCUUAAAUGUCAGGAUGUUUUUUAAUUGCUUCAGAUGAGAUUCAAAAUAAUUGACUUUGCAAAUGUAUUUAAAAAAAACUCAUUUAAAAUUAUCUGAAGCUGCUGAGAGUCUGUCUGGAAGGGGCAAGAUAUUGAUAUUCAUUACUAGGAACAGGGCAGAAAUUGAUUCAUGUUUUUUUUUUUUUUUUUAACCACAUGAAGUGUGUCCUGUGGUCACUGCUGGACAGAGCGGGGUUGCUGAUACGGGGAUGUGUAGGUUCCUCUUCCCCACCCAACCUGCUCUCUAAGUAAGUACGCUGUGUGACAGUCAGUGCACGUUUUUGCUUGCAUACAUAUCUGCAUGUAUUUUGUAUUAAAAGGCGGUAAGCAGAGGCUUGAAAAGAGAAAGGACAUAUACAUGUAUAUGCUUGGUGGUUUGAGGAAAAUACAGUCUCUGGCCAUAUGGUGCAUGUGUACAAGUGAUUUGGAUGGAAUACCAACGUGUUGAAGGUGAGUAGGGGUAUCACCUAGCAUCGCUGUAAGUAUUUAUCAGUUGAUUGGCAGAAAAGAAAAGGAGAGUACAUUAACACCUGGGGAAAGAAGGCUUUGAAACAAUUACAGUUGUGAAAUACAGGUAAAUCGCUAAGAAAAAACAUUCAGCAGCAGAACAAUAAUGAUACUUUGUAACAAUGCAACAACUGCAGAGAUACAAACUUUUCCUGUCUUCAUAUACAGCCUCAGGAGUGCCUCACAGCUUCCUUUGGAUGCAGGAGGGAAGGGUAGGAACAACUUCAUUUGAUAAAAGGUGAGAAGGUUCAGUGAAUUUGCCCCUGGAUUUGGAUUUGCCCCUGAUCUACACUGCCUUCCUCACAUACCACACUCAUCUGGAGCCUGCAGAAAGGGUGAAUGUGUCCACAGGUACCAAGGCCAAGUUCGGCAGCCUUCAGAAGUCGCCUGAACCAGCCUGACUCAGAGAGCAGAACCCAAAUCUCCCAUCUGAGACUUUUCAGGGAGCAAGUAACAAGUGGUCUGAAAAGAACACCCCAGGCAGGGAAUAUGGCGAUGGGAUUAUAAACACAGCCUCUCAGUCGCUUCUUCCAAGUAUAUUCAGUCUGAUCAUGUGCCUGAGACCUGGUGUGACAUUGACUAG